CCUACGGGAGGCUGCAGUGGGGAAUAUUUCACAAUGGGGGAAACCCUGAUGCAGCGACGCCGCGUGAGUGAAGAAGUAUUUCGGUAUUUAAAGCUCUAUCAGCAGGGAAGAAGAAAGACGGUACCUGACUAAGAAGCACCGUCUAACUACGUGCCAGAAGCCGCGGUACUACGUAGGGGGCAAGCGUUAUCCGGAUUGACUGGGGGUAAAGGGAGCGUAGACGGUUGUGCAAGUCUGAAGUGAAAGCCCAGGGCUCAACCGUGGGACUGCUUUGGAAACUGUGGAUCUAGAGUGCUGGAGAGGUAAGUGGAAUUCCUAGUGUAGCGGUGAAAUGCGUAGAUAUUAGGAGGAACACCAGUGGCGAAGGCGGCUUACUGGACAGUAACUGACGUUGAGGCUCGAAAGCGUGGGGAGCAAACAGGAUUAGAUACCCGGGUAGUC
Molecule: ribosomal RNA, 441 nt
Filed under: uncultured bacterium
Lineage: Bacteria
Description: partial 16S ribosomal RNA
Rfam family: Bacterial small subunit ribosomal RNA
Source: RNAcentral